AGUUACUAGGGGCUGCUUUAACCCAGUUCUAGGGGCUGCUUUAACCCAGUACUAGGGGCUGCUAGGGGCUGCUUUAACCCAGUACUAGGGGCUGCUUUAACCCAGUACUAGGGGCUGCUAGGGGCUGCUUUAAACCCAGUACUAGGGGCUGCUUUAACCCAGUACUAGGGGCUGCUUUAACCCAGUUCUAGGGGCUGCUUUUAACCCAGUACUAGGGGCUGCUUUAACCCAGUACUAGGGGCUGCUUUAACCCAGUACUAGGGGCUGCUUUUAACCCAGUGCUAGGGGGCUGCUUUAACCCAG
This is a long non-coding RNA of Haliotis rubra (blacklip abalone), 303 nucleotides long. RefSeq lists it as uncharacterized. The transcript has 3 exons. The record is from RefSeq and is a predicted model, not a curated record. NCBI's taxonomy places the organism in Eukaryota, Metazoa, Mollusca, Gastropoda, Lepetellida, Haliotidae.